RNAcentral lists this ribosomal RNA (253 nucleotides) under uncultured bacterium. RNAcentral's name for it is "partial 16S ribosomal RNA". It matches the Rfam family "Bacterial small subunit ribosomal RNA", at positions 524 to 776 of the family's 1533-position model. The record is from RNAcentral.
UACAGAGGUCUCAAGCGUUGUUCGGAUUCAUUGGGCGUAAAGGGUGCGUAGGCGGCGGGGUAAGUCAGGUGUGAAAUCUCGGGGCUCAACCCCGAAACUGCACUUGAUACUGCCUCGCUCGAGUACUGGAGAGGAGACUGGAAUUUACGGUGUAGCAGUGAAAUGCGUAGAUAUCGUAAGGAAGACCAGUGGCGAAGGCGAGUCUCUGGACAGUUACUGACGCUGAGGCACGAAGGCCAGGGGAGCAAACGGG